GAUGAAGAACGUAGCGAAAUGCGAUAAGUAGUGUGAAUUGCAGAAUUCAGUGAAUCAUCGAAUCUUUGAACGCACAUUGCGCCCCUUGGUAUUCCAUGGGGCAUGCCUGUUCGAGCGUCAUUUGUACCUUCAAGCUUUGCUUGGUGUUGGGUGUUUGUCUCGCCUUUGCGUGUAGACUCGCCUUAAAAUAAUUGGCAGCCGGCGUAUUGAUUUCGGAGCGCAGUACAUCUCGCGCUUUGCACUCAUAACGACAGCGUCCAAAAGUACAUUUUACACUCUUGACCUCGGAUCAGGUGGGGAUACCCGCUGAACUUAAGCAUAUCAAUAAGCGGAGGA
RNAcentral lists this unclassified non-coding RNA (336 nucleotides) under soil metagenome. RNAcentral's name for it is "partial contains 5.8S ribosomal RNA, internal transcribed spacer 2, and large subunit ribosomal RNA". The stretch from base 1 to 120 matches the Rfam family "5.8S ribosomal RNA", at positions 35 to 154 of the family's 154-position model. The record is from RNAcentral.